AGCGAACGCUGGCGGCAGGCUUAACACAUGCAAGUCGAGCGGGCCUUUCGGGGUCAGCGGCGGACGGGUGAGUAACGCGUGGGAACGUGCCCUCUGGUUCGGAAUAACUCAGGGAAACUUGAGCUAAUACCGGAUACGCCCUUUUGGGGAAAGGCUUGCUGCCGGAGGGUCGGCCCGCGUCUGAUUAGCUAGUUGGUGAGGUAACGGCUCACCAAGGCGACGAUCAGUAGCUGGUCUGAGAGGAUGAUCAGCCACACUGGGACUGAGACACGGCCCAGACUCCUACGGGAGGCAGCAGUGGGGAAUAUUGGACAAUGGGCGCAAGCCUGAUCCAGCCAUGCCGCGUGAGUGAUGAAGGCCUUAGGGUUGUAAAGCUCUUUUAUCCGGGACGAUAAUGACGGUACCGGAGGAAUAAGCCCCGGCUAACUUCGUG
Molecule: ribosomal RNA, 433 nt
Filed under: uncultured bacterium
Lineage: Bacteria
Description: partial 16S ribosomal RNA
Rfam family: Bacterial small subunit ribosomal RNA
Source: RNAcentral